CAGCAGCCGCGGUAAUACGAAGGGUGCAAGCGUUAAUCGGAAUUACUGGGCGUAAAGGGUGCGUAGGCGGUUGUUUAAGUCUGUUGUGAAAUCCCCGGGCUCAACCUGGGAAUUGCAGUGGAUACUGGGUCACUAGAGUGUGGUAGAGGAUAGUGGAAUUUCCGGUGUAGCAGUGAAAUGCGUAGAGAUCGGAAGGAACAUCUGUGGCGAAGGCGACUACCUGGGACAACACUGACGCUGAAGCACGAAAGCGUGGGGAGCGAACAGGAUUAGAUACCCCGGUAGUCCCUGUCUCUUAUAC
Molecule: ribosomal RNA, 301 nt
Filed under: uncultured bacterium
Lineage: Bacteria
Description: partial 16S ribosomal RNA
Rfam family: Bacterial small subunit ribosomal RNA
Source: RNAcentral